This 492-nucleotide ribosomal RNA is filed under the name uncultured bacterium. RNAcentral's name for it is "partial 16S ribosomal RNA". It matches the Rfam family "Bacterial small subunit ribosomal RNA", at positions 29 to 507 of the family's 1533-position model. The record is from RNAcentral.
AGUGAACGCUGGCGGUAGGCCUAACACAUGCAAGUCGAACGGCAGCACAGUAAGAGCUUGCUCUUACGGGUGGCGAGUGGCGGACGGGUGAGGAAUACAUAGGAAUCUACUUUUUCGUGGGGGAUAACGUAGAGAAACUUACGCUAAUACCGCAUACGUCCUACGGGUGAAAUCAGAGGAGAUUCGGACCUUGCGCGAUAGAAUGAGCCGAUGUCGGAUUAGCUAGUUGGCGAGGUAAAGGCACACCAAGGCGACGAUCCGUAGCAGGUCUGAGAGGAUGAUCGGCCACACUGGAACUGAGACACGGUCCAGACUCCUACGGGAGGCAGCAGUGGGGAAUAUUGCACAAUGGGCGCAAGCCUGAUCCAGCCAUACCGCGUGGGUGAAGAAGGCCUUCGGGUUGUAAAGCCCUUUUGUUGGGAAAGAACAUCAGCAGGUUAAACCCCGGCCGUUCUGACGGUACCCAAAGAAUAAGCACCGGCUAACUUCGUG